UUGAUCUCAAAUCAGGUAGGACUACCCGCUGAACUUAAGCAUAUCAAUAAGCGGAGGAAAAGAAACUAACAAGGAUUCCCCUAGUAACUGCGAGUGAAGCGGGAAGAGCUCAAAUUUAAAAUCUGGCGUGCCUAUGGUCGUCCGAGUUGUAGUCUGGAGAAGUGUUUUCCGUGUUGGACCGUGUAUAAGUCUCUUGGAACAGGGCGUCAUAGAGGGUGAGAAUCCCGUCUUUGACACGGACUACCAAUGCUUUGUGAUGCGCUCUCAAAGAGUCGAGUUGUUUGGGAAUGCAGCUCAAAAUGGGGUGGUAAAUUCCAUCUAAAGCUAA
RNAcentral lists this ribosomal RNA (328 nucleotides) under uncultured fungus. Its description in RNAcentral is "eukaryotic LSU rRNA". It matches the Rfam family "Eukaryotic large subunit ribosomal RNA", at positions 1 to 319 of the family's 3401-position model. Lineage: Eukaryota; Fungi. The record is from RNAcentral.